RNAcentral lists this long non-coding RNA (791 nucleotides) under Hordeum vulgare. RNAcentral describes it as "long non-coding RNA (HVUL_LNC008239)". Lineage: Eukaryota; Viridiplantae; Streptophyta; Magnoliopsida; Poales; Poaceae. The record is from RNAcentral.
CUGCUCUUCGUCCCCGUGGUGAUGAUGCUGCUGCUCUUCUCCCUGGUUCUCUUCCCCUCCACAAACUGCGAGUAUCCUCCAUCUCCCACCUUCUCCCAGUAAGAACAACAUACGGAGAGAGCCUUACUGCCAGGUAUACAUAUAUAUAUAAUUCCUGCUCUCGAGUUUUAUUCUAUCUACAUCCAUGCAGCUUUUGCUUGCUUUUAUUGGAUAUACAUAUACAUAUGACAUGACAUGCUACCAUACAACACACAACAGUCAGGUCAGGUGGCUCUCAGGAGAAUUUCUGCUCUGCCUUUCAAGCCCCGGCCAGAUGAGGAGCCAGCCAUGGUUAUGUAGAAUUACCAAGAAAUGAAUGUUGAUUACCUAGUCAUUCCUGGUUUUCUCGCAAUUUUGUGGCUGAGGAAGGCUAUAUGUUAGCAAGCCGGCAAUGAGAACCGCCGCGCCUGCAACAAAGCCGGGAGGGAGGGUCGACGCCACGCUGAUGUACGGCAGCGGUAGAGUGAAAGCGUAGAUCGACAGCGGAACUGCAUCAAGAAAAGGCCAUCAUUAGUGAUCAGUUCGCUGCAAAGUGUGCAUGCAUACUUGCAUAUCUACUUGUACAAGGGAACAAUGACUAGUAAUCAGAAAUGGAAUGCUAGUUGAAAGGUUUAUAACUUUUUUUCCCUCAACCUUCUCGAAGGGCAUUUUUUUCUCGAAGGGCCUUUUUUCCCUCAACGUUAUGUGUAAGUGCAAACGAUGAAUACCGAAGAUACGUUGGAAGCUAGACUAUUUAUUCAUUAAUAGUAUCU